GCUAAACUUUGCUAGAUCCGCCCCUGCACAGUUACCAGCCGUCAGCUACAUAGAAAAGGAUCCUGGUCUAGAAAGUAAUAUUCAAUAAAUUCUAACAACAGCUUAUCAAGCUUAAACGUGCUGCUGUUGUUCAGCCGCUGGUUUCCUCUUUCUGGUGCAAAGUGGGCCAAAAACAAAGAAGAGAGACGGACUCGCGACAGAAAAGCCGAUCAGCUGAUCAUUAAGCAGUUUCAUGAAGUAGCGGCAGGAGAGAGAGAGGCAGUCGCUCCAUAUAUCGGUUGUUAAGCUUAAGACCUGAAAAUGAUCACAGCUGAAUCUGGACAGGACGUCACUCUGACAUGUCGAGCUCCAGACAACAACAUCAAUACUUUAGAGUGGAGCAGAGCUGACCUGGGAGAUAAGAAUGUCUAUUUGUACCAGAAUGGCCACUUCGAACCAGAUCACCAGCAUCCAUCUGUUAGGAACCGGGUGGAUCUGCAGAACAGAGAGAUGAUGGAUGGAGACGCGUCUUUGAUUCUGAAGGAUGUGAUGAUUGGUGACACUGGAACAUACGAGUGUCGUGUCAACAUGGAAGGAAAAAACCGCAAGGACGCUAAACCCGUCAGUGUCUUCUACCUCCAUGUUGAUCCCCCAGGAGCACACAAAGAAAUUGAACCUGUUAAAACUGACCCUCCACGUGUUGAUCCUCCAGCUCAGACAGGAGGAUCUGGUGGACUGAAAGCUGGUCUGGUAGUUCCUGCUGUGCUUCUUGUUGCUACUGUUGUUGGUUUUUGAAAAGAAACACCAACAACAGCAGCAACAAGAAGAAAACAGUCUCGAGGUUCAAAUGAGCGUUCUGGUGAACAACAGAGCGGACAACCUCUUCAGACUUAAGAUCAUCAACCAAUAAACAUCAUAGACGUCAAACACUCAGAGUUUGGAUUUCUUUCUCAUUUCUCUGAUGAUCAUCAUGUUUAGACUCAGACCAACAGUGUGUGUCUGUGCUGUCUGUCAGUGACCCUGAACUACAGUUUAUUCAUCUUCAUGUUGUUCAUGAGAUUUACUGACACAAAGUCAAACUGUGUUACAAACAUAAAUGAAUUUAUAUGAUAUUAUCUCAGAAUAUAUGCAUGUUUUGUUUUUUAGCUUCAUGUUCAGUGGCUGGUUGUAAGAAAAACUAAAGAUCAGCUGUUACAGUAUAAUUGUUGUUCUGUGAAUUAUAGACUAUUAAUAAUCUGGCUCAUUGUUCAGCUACAACCACUUUGUUUGACAUUACUUAUUAUUCUCUUUUUGUAUAAAAUUUUGAAUUUUACAGCUUACGGAGCAAAAUUGUGUAAAAGUAAAAAUUUGUGUAGUUACAGACUCAUAUUUCUUCUCUGAUCCUGAACCUUUCUAACCCCUUUCAUUUAACAUUUCCUCCAGUGAAUCUUUGUAAAUCCAAAUUUCUUCAUCUAUGUUAAUAAAGAUUUACAUUUAUACCUGCUCAAGGUUUUCCAGUGUUUCUGUCAUUUGAAGGUUUUGAUUUAAUUUCUGUUUAUUAUUUUGUUACAAACUUGUCAUCAAUUAGCGAGACAGAAGCUAAGCUCGUUGCAACAUGGCAACUGCCUCAACGCGACAUGAAAUUGAACCUCCCCCACCCUCAUUCAGAUCUGGCAUUUGGAACUAUCUUGGUUUUCAUGUGAAGCAUGACCCUGAUGGUAAGCGCGUCAUGGACAAAAGUAAAACAGUAUGUUGGAUGUGCCACGCAAUGCUCAAUUUGUGGGAACUAGUGCGUUAGCGCAGUUAGCUUGUUAACGUGUUAAUGCCGUCCAGCCCCACGCACGGGGCGAUCUGCGGUAACUUGUUAAGGGAGAUUUACCGCGUUAUGGCGUUAAUGUCAUUUUAACGAGAUUAACGCUGACAGCACUAGUGGGAACACAAUGAAUAUGACUGCACAUUUACGCCGACAUCAUCCUAGUGCAAAGACAAGUGGAAGCAGACAAAAACAACAAGCAUGCAUGCUACAAACUUUACCCGAGUCAUUUAGACAGCCGUCAGCACAUGAUUCUCCUUAUGGGGACCUGAUAUGUUUAAUAUGCUGCUGAGAAUAUACCCCAGAAGAAGCGUAUAGUAUAGCUUUUAUUUUGGAAAGAGCCAUUUCUCUGUAAUAAACUCUCUUUUCCAAAGAUGAGUGACUUCUCG
Long non-coding RNA from Oreochromis aureus, 2160 nucleotides. NCBI's taxonomy places the organism in Eukaryota, Metazoa, Chordata, Actinopteri, Cichliformes, Cichlidae. The record is from Ensembl.